GGGCUGGUGGCGGAAUGGCAGACGCGACAGACUUAAAAUCUGUUGGCCGCAAGGCCGUGGGGGUUCAAGUCCCCCCCUGCCCA
RNAcentral lists this transfer RNA (83 nucleotides) under Elusimicrobiaceae bacterium. Its description in RNAcentral is "tRNA-Leu". It matches the Rfam family "tRNA". From Rfam's summary of the family: Transfer RNA (tRNA) molecules are approximately 80 nucleotides in length. The record is from RNAcentral. RNAcentral also lists the same sequence under 2 other names. Lineage: Bacteria; Pseudomonadati; Elusimicrobiota; Elusimicrobia; Elusimicrobiales; Elusimicrobiaceae.